UUUGUUAAACACUACGUGCGAUAAUUUUUAUAUUUGAAGCGUUUUGUUUAAACUAAAUGUUAAAAGUUUGUAGUGUCAAACGAUAUUUUUUAUUUAAAUGGAACGUUUUGUCAAACACCGGAAGCUACAAGUUUCCAAACGCUCUCAAAUACUUCGUGUCAAACACGCCCAUAGUGUUGCCAACAGUAGGGUGUUGGGUGCAACCUCCUAAAGCUUAUACCUGACAUAACAUGACAUGGUUGGAGAGUUAAAAGCCAUAGGAUUUUGUUAUUUUAUUAAAGUGAAAUGGCAAGUGGCUAAGUUUACAUUAUAAAGCAAGUAUUUUGAGUUGUAUGAGUGAGAGAAAAACCAAAACAAAAAUCAAUGAUACAAAUUUUGGUUUUUUAUAAACUGAAUUUGUCGAUUAGUUUCUUUCAUUGUAGAAAACCACACAUAGAAAAACCAAAAACUAUCUUAUAUUAAGUAACUAUAAAUUAGGCUUUUAAUGUUGGUGACAUUGUUCAAAAAAAAAUUCUAGAUCCACCAUUGCACGUGUCAUUAUGGAAAAAGGAUAAACUACGGUGUCUCUAAGUGUAGGUAGCAAAACCAAAGUAUGUUGCUAUUUCCCGCAAUAUUCCCUUUAUGAUAUAUGCUAUGAAGAGGUUCUUUGUCAUAUUGUCAAAUGUUACAUUUGAUGCUAGGAUUUAAUGUUGAUUUCUUGAAAGAAAUUUAAAUGAAAAUGAAGAAAAACAUGUUUGGUGAUAUGUAGUUCCAAUUUAGAGAAGCAUGUUUCAUCAAUGGAAGCAACAAAUCUAUGAUCACCCAAUGAAAGUAACACCUGUUAUAUCAAGGGAUUUCAUACCUAGGGAAGCAUGUUUCAUCAAUGGAAGCAACAAAUCUAUGAUCACCCAAUGAAAGUAACACCUGUUAUAUCAAGGGAUUUCAUACCUAGGGAAGCAUGUUUCAUCAAUGGAGGCAACAAUUCUAGAUCACCCAAUAUUGUAGUCUGACAAUAAACGUUGCAUCAGUUCCAAUUUCAUGAUGUUUUAUAUAUAUAUAUAUANNNNNNNNNNNNNNNNNNNNNNNNNNNNNNNNNNNNNNNNNNNNNNNNNNNNNNNNNNNNUAUAUAUAUAUUAAGCUUCUUUCAAGCCAACUCAGAUAAUUUACAGAAAAAUCCUUCAACUAAUGCUCAAAUUUGUUUAGAUCGGUUUGUUAUCGUGUGGACAAUAAUUUGGUGAUUUUGGUCUGAAAGUUACAAGACCAACAUAAAUUAAUCUCAAUGAAAUAAAUUGGUACAAUUUAGGUUUCAGCUACCAAAAUAUCACACAAGUACAACUUCUGUUUCUUGUAAUUAGAGUUGUAGAGAUCUAUUGAUAGCAUUAAGUAGAGCGUUACUUGACUUCUGAUGUAGCCUUUAAAUGGUCAUUUGAUAAUUUAAGAUGCUGAAAUGCAAAUUAGGGUGUACUCCUAGAAAGAUUCUUUGUGCAAAGGGUGAUAUUUUUUAUAGUCAAAUAACAAUAUUUUUCUUGCUUUGCAGGAAUAAACACAUGGAUAAAAUUUGAGUAUGUGGAGAGAAACAUGUAAAAAGCAAAAAGAUGAGAUUUUCCACUCAGAUUAACAUAGUCCCCACGAUUAGGGGAUCAAGUAUUUGAAGCAGUACCAAAUCAUUAACCAAGACCUAACUCUAUUCCAAUCUAAGAACAAGAUCUUUUAUAACAAUAACUCGUUCUUCGCUUAAAAAAACUAGAAAAUGCACGAAUGAAGAACUAAAUAAUAAGUAGAUUACCUGAUAAUUUAAUCUCUAUAUAAAUACCAAAUCUAGUAAAAAAAAUGUCAUGCAAAUACAAAAUCCAAAUAGUAGUAUAAAUAAGCACAAUAGCAGUACUAAAAAUUCAAAACAAUCAUUGCUACAUAUAUUUACUAAAUCUCAUCCAGAGUUUCCUCAAAAAACGUGAAAAACUUCCGUCUCCACUGCUUCUUGAACACUAAAACUCCAAUAACACCCCAAAACCCUGUUGCAAAACCACAUGCUACGUCCACAUAAUACCAUAUCUUCAACCAUACAUUUGUUGGUUCAUAAGCUGCUUCGUAUUUGUUCUCGGGGGUUGUUGUUGGGUCUUGAUGAUUUGAGCAAUUAUUCAGCAACGGAGCUCCACACAGAUCUUUGUUCCCGGCAUAUAUUGAUGGAUCAGUAAGUGUCUGCAAUUGAUUUCCCCUUGGAAUUCGUCCCCACAAGUUGUUGUGUGACAAAUUCAAAUGACUCAAAAAAGUCAAAGCUACCAUGCUUGGAGGGAUCAUCCCGGUCAACUCGUUUCCAGAUAAAUCGAGAGAAAAUAAUGACGUCAUGUUUCCGAUGUUGUCUGGAAUUCCCCCACUGAGAUAAUUGUUUGACAAAUUGAGACCCACCAACAUAGAAAGUGCAGUUAUCUCUACUGGUAUUUCUCCUACAAGUUUAUUGCUUGAAAGGUCCAUGUUAUAAACCAUAUCCCAAGUUGUUGAAUAUUCAAGAUCAACACCUUUCAUCACUUGAAUCACGUUUUGAUCAUAAUCAACCAGGUGAACAUGCCAAAUUCCUCUGCUAACCCUAACCAUGGCAUUUAAACCUCCUAGACAUUGAGGGAUUGUUCCAGUUAAGUUGUUGUAUGCAACAUCCAAUAUUUGCAGAUUUGAAGAUUUGCACAAAGAUCGAGGAAUUCUUCCGGUGAAGUUAUUUUUGUGCAACCUCAAAACAACCAAAUAUGCGAGCUUUUCUCCAAUCCAUUCAGGUAUGUUUCCCGAGAACUUAUUAUCACCCAAAUCUAAGACCAUUAAAUUUUGUAAACUCCCCAAUUCUCGAGGAACUUCACCAAUUAAGUCAUUGUCGUUCAAUUUUAACCACUCUAAUGACGAAGAAUUACGAAAUAUGGAAUUUGGAAUCACACCACACAGCCGAUUUGAGCUAAAUAUCAUGACAAACAGCUUUUGCAGAUUCUCAAGACAAUUUGGAAUUUUUCCGGUUAACCUAUUUCUGGAAAGGUCAAGAUAUUCCAAAUCUGUCCUUCUACACAAUGAACUUGGAAUCGACUCAUUGAAUAGAUUACUUUCCAGAAAUAAAGCCCGGAGAGCUCCAUAUUCAGACACAUACCCAUCAGGAAGGUUUGUCAAUGGUCCGCUGAGUUUGUUGUGGGAAAGAUCUAGAAAAGGAAUAUUGGGCAUCUUUUGCAACCAUGUGGGCAGAGUUCCUGAAAUUGAAGCAUUCGACAACACUAACCUCUCAAGUUUCCUUUGAUCUCGAAUCCACCGUGGAAAUCCAUUUGCAAUAUUGCAAGAACUAAGAUCAAGAUCCACCAAUUGGAAUGGAGGAAUCCACUCACAUGAAACAUUGAAUGCCAACUUGGUGUUAGAAGAAGCAUCCAAGUAACUCAACAUCGAAAGGUUAGCAAAAUGGGCUUCAGAAACUACUCCUAAAGAAUUGUUUGAGAUAUCUAAAUAUUCAAGUUUGACAAGUUGCCCAAACGAAACUGGAAUAGUUCCAUUUAACAGGUUUGAAGACACCGAAAUUGCUUGUAGUGAAACAAGUCUUCCUAGAGAUGCUGGUAUGGGGCCCAUUAACCUAUUGGAUCCUAGAUACAAAUUUGUUAAAGCUGAUAACUUUCCAAGGAAUGUGGGAAUGUAACCGGUUAGCUGGUUAUUAGAGAGAUCCAAUACUUCUAAAAAACUUAACCUUUUUAGAGAUAUGGAGAUUGGACCUGUCAAUCCACUGCUAGAUAGAUCCAAGACUCUUAAAUUGGCCAAUCUUCCAAGUGAUUUUGGAAUUGUACCGUUUACACUCCCAUGUAUAUCCAACAUCUCCAAAGCAUACUGGGAGCAAUAGCAUACAUUUUUUGGUGAGUCGAUCAUUUCUAUCUCAAAAUGAUUGUAUGAGGCACUCAGUUGUUUGAGGUGACACUGUUUCCAGAUUCCAAGGUGUUGAAUCUGCUUCAACUGGUUUCUAGAAACAUCAAGUUCAAGAAGGUUAUGCAUAAUAGGAACCGAAGAACUCAGCAUGUUUCCUGAAAGGUCAAGGACUUUUAGGGAACUCAUAUUUGUUAAAAUAGAUGGAAACAUGCCUUCAAUUGAAUUGACACUAAGAUCCAGGUGUUGGAUGUUUGAAAGUGUACUGAAAUUGAGAAAAGGGGAAGAAAGAAACGUGUUCUCAAGCCCACAACAUGACAGAUGCAGCUCAGAUAAAGAAGGGAUCAUGUUUAGCAACUUUGCAAAGUUCCAAUUCAAACUUAGAUCAAAGUAUGAAAGAUCGAGGAAUGCUAGGGAUGUCAUGUUCUGAAGAAAGCCAGGCAGUGGACCUUUGAAAGAAUUGAAGCUAAGAUCUAGGUAUUUGAUAUUGGAAAUUAUUCUACUCGAAUUAAGAAAAUCAGCAUUGGAAAGUCCACAUUCAGACAAACUUAACUCUUUUAAUGAAGGUAUCAUGUAAGGAACUAUGUCCAAGUUUUGUGCUCCACUAAGUUUCAUCCGACUGAGGUCGAGAUGCUCGAGUGACGAAAGGCCAAAAACCCAUGCCAUAUCAUCUGCCAUGAGCUCAUGGUUUGAACUGAGAUCAAGAACCUUUAAAUUAGAAAGGUUUCCAAUGUGAGGAGGAAUAAUACCUUGAAAACCAGCAUAAGAGAGAUUCAGGUACAUCAGCUGUUUGAAGGAUCCAAUGAACUCAGGGAUCCGGCUUCAACCAAAAUCAUUCCAACUCAAAUCUAAGUAUUUGAGAUUCCUUAGCUCUGCCAAAGAAGAGUUCACCUCAUUACCAAUUAAGUCAUUGAGAUGAAGGCUUUCAACAGUUCCAGUGAGACUGUCACACUGGAUUCCUUCCCACAUGCAACAGUCAUUGCCAGCCCAUGAUGACAACAUUCCAGAAAAAUCUUUCACACUCCCUUUGAACUUGAGAAGAGCGAGUCUCUCUUUCUGAGAACAAACAACAUUUACAUUUCCAGCACCGAAACAAGUAUUUGUAGUUGCAAACAAAAAAACACAUACGAAAACAAGAUGGAGCCCCAAAUCCCUGUGAUUCCCCAUUAUCAACCCCAACUCAGUUUAAUUUUGGAAGAAAUGAAGUGGAAAUAUAGGUUGUUAUGAUGAACUGAUGGGUUGUUAUGAUCGAGAAUAGUUCAUUUAUAAAUCCAUAUAAUGAAGAGCACCAUAUUGUCAUGGAGGACUUUGAAGUCAUGUGAACCAGAAUUGGAAGUCAAUUGGCAACCUAAUUUGUAUCCACAAACAAGUACACAUGGAACUUCUAACACACGCACACGCAUAUACAUACAUCACACAUCAUACAUCAUACAAUACAUACAUACAUACAUAUAAAUAUAAUUUCUUUUAACCUAGAACAAAUUACCAACAUUUUUUAAUCUGCAAUAUUUUAAUAAUUAAACCAGUUAUAUCAGAAUUUCAAUAAUUUUUCUCUUUAAUUUGAUAGCAAUAUUGUUAUGAAAUUUUUUGGAUUAUAGCGAAUUAGACAAUUAUUGUUAUUGAAUUUGGAGUUCUGGGUACAAACUAUGCCCCAUGGAAAACGUAAAUGUACUUGGCCACAAAUCUUCUUCACACAAAGACUUUGAAGUCAACAAAGUAAACCCCCUGAUUGCAAGUUGGGACUACAAUAGUGACAUGUUUGAUGCACAAAUCAUCUUUUGUAUGGAAAUUUCCAUGUAACUUCUCCCUAAUAAACAUAUCCCUCUUCGUUAUUAUUCUGAUACAAAUCUUGAUAUAGUAAUUCAAAAUUGCAAAUGAACCAAAACUGCUACAGCUCUAUUCUAGGAGUAAAAGGGUAAAUCAGGAAAAUAGCUAAAAUCUCCCCUCCCCUCCCCCUAUCGACAAUGCAUCCAGCACAUGAAGUCAUAAACACAUACAAAGAUUGAACUAGAAAGCAUAGAGACAUGAAGAGAUUGUGCAUUUCGUGUUAUAUAGUACAUGAAGUUUCUGCAACAUUAGCAUGUACUUCAGAAGGGCUCUGAGGCAAUGAAACAAAGUUCCAAGAUUAUUAGGAAAACCACAUUUAGAGAAAAUAAUGGCAAGCAUUUAAUGCUUAAAAGAAUUGCAACUUCACUAGGGAAGGACAAAAAAGAGCAGAAAUGGUUGAUAUUAUAUCUACCAUUAGGAGAGCAAGUGUACAGCAUAUUCAGAAUUUUGUAAAACACAAACAGACAAAAGCUAGUGAAAUCAAUUAAAAUUAGGUCAAACAGAAAAAAAAAAAUGAGAAACCUUACUGAGUGAACCGAGAAAUUAAGGAGAGAGAUGAGUGGCAAUGGAGGCUUAGCCUUUUCGCUGUCCUCACCACCUUCGCUGCUAGUGACUUUGAAGACGGUAGAGUUUGGGAAAGCUAUUAGUCCGUCGUCAAAC
This 6339-nucleotide long non-coding RNA is filed under the name Lactuca sativa (garden lettuce). Its description in RNAcentral is "long non-coding RNA (LSAT_LNC008735)". Lineage: Eukaryota; Viridiplantae; Streptophyta; Magnoliopsida; Asterales; Asteraceae. The record is from RNAcentral.